UCUAGUGGCACGUGUGGCAAAGCAUGUAGGCACAGUGGCAUUGCGUGCAUCGACACGUUACAAUUUUAUUGACACGUGUGUGAUCGCGCGUGUGGUGGUGUGUGGUGACUUCGGUGACCGAGACCGUGUGUCCAAGAAAAAAUUAGUUCUUCCUUCGUGUUGUGUCAUUUUUGAAAUUAUUCAUCAUUUAAUACGUGUGUUUUUCUAUUUAUAAUGAAAAAAAUUAUCCGAAUGAUAGCCAGAAUUAGAGAGGACUGUAGACCCAAACCCAGUAAGAAUUCUGAUACCUU
Molecule: long non-coding RNA, 290 nt
Filed under: Carica papaya (papaya)
Lineage: Eukaryota; Viridiplantae; Streptophyta; Magnoliopsida; Brassicales; Caricaceae
Description: long non-coding RNA (CPAP_LNC001480)
Source: RNAcentral